This 253-nucleotide ribosomal RNA is filed under the name uncultured bacterium. RNAcentral's name for it is "partial 16S ribosomal RNA". It matches the Rfam family "Bacterial small subunit ribosomal RNA", at positions 524 to 776 of the family's 1533-position model. The record is from RNAcentral.
UACGUAGGGGGCGAGCGUUGUCCGGAAUCAUUGGGCGUAAAGCGCGUGUAGGCGGCCAGGUAGGUCGGCUGUGAAAACUCGAGGCUCAACCUCGAGCUGUCGGCCGAAACCAUCUGGCUAGAGUCCGGAAGAGGAGAGUGGAAUUCCCGGUGUAGCGGUGAAAUGCGCAGAUAUCGGGAAGAACACCCGUGGCGAAGGCGGCUCUCUGGGACGGUACUGACGCUGAGACGCGAAAGCGUGGGGAGCGAACAGG